This 437-nucleotide ribosomal RNA is filed under the name Wolbachia endosymbiont of Betulaphis pelei. RNAcentral's name for it is "bacterial SSU rRNA". It matches the Rfam family "Bacterial small subunit ribosomal RNA", at positions 992 to 1428 of the family's 1533-position model. The record is from RNAcentral. Lineage: Bacteria; Pseudomonadati; Pseudomonadota; Alphaproteobacteria; Rickettsiales; Anaplasmataceae.
CAUACCUAUUCGAAGGGAUAGGGUCGGUUUGGCCGGAUUUCACACAGGUGUUGCAUGGCUGUCGUCAGCUCGUGUCGUGAGAUGUUGGGUUAAGUCCCGCAACGAGCGCAACCCUCAUCCCUAGUUACCAUCAGGUUAUGCUGGGGACUUUAAGGAAACUGCCAGUGAUAAACUGGAGGGAGGUGGGGAUGAUGUCAAGUCAUCAUGGCCCUUAUGGAGUGGGCUACACACGUGCUACAAUGGUGAUUACAAUGGGCUGCAAGGUCGCAAGGCUGAGCUAAUCCUAAAAAAUCAUCUCAGUUCGGAUUGUUCUCUGCAACUCGAGAGCAUGAAGUUGGAAUCGCUAGUAAUCGUGGAUCAGCAUGCCACGGUGAAUACGUUCUCGGGUCUUGUACACACUGCCCGUCACGCCAUGGGAAUUGGUUUCACUCGAAGCU